UCACUAAGCAAUAUUUUUGGCGGCUGUUUGUAAACUUUGCAUUCUAUUAAUUUAACGUUGUGUUGUUUGAUAAGGUUGGCGCUAUUUUGUUGAAUGAUUAGUUGACCGUUAGCUAACUUUCUAGAUAACGUUAGCUGCUAGCUAGAUUAGCUAACAACAAGUAAAAAAACAAAAACAAGAGUUAUUUCGUGAUCAUCAAAUAAUGCAGUGCUCUAAAAACGAAUUAACGAAACAUAUAGUUUUGUUACAGAAUGGAAGACUAUGAAAAGUUCAUACAACGCCGACUUUACGAACUGAAAAGGAAGGAUAGCAACGACAACAACAAGAACCAACGCCGGACACUGGAAUCACCAUGUACUCGCCACGUAUCAUCAGCUAUCCGUUUCCAUGGCAUACCCAUCCUUCCUCCAUUGCUCACAGGAGUGCAAAGAGAAGAGAUGCAGAGACACAGAGAGGCAGCCAAGAGGACGACAGAUAGGAAGAAGACUCAGCCCUCUGAGACGAGGAUGUCCUACGUUCAGAACAUUCUACACAGUGUUCAGCUGAGGCAAGCACCAACACUGGAGGAGUUCUUUCAGGGUGAACCAGGACUAACGGCAGCCAAAACCACCAACCUACACCACAGCAACGUCCGCCAGGUUCUAGUGUCGCAGAAUGAUGAUAUCACCGAGACCAAGGACAGCUUGCCGGGGUCGUCCUCCCAAACAACCUUAACCGUCAUGCAUGAUGGGAAAGCAGGCAUCCUCGUCCGAGGUCCUCCCAUGACGUCAACAGCCUACGGCGCCUUCACAACGAAUCACCUUACAACUCUCCAUAACACCACCACUGUGAGGGAGACCUUCCUAGAUAAGCUGGUCUGUGACCCAAUGACACCUUCUCUAGCUAGAGAGACAACCACACAUACCAACCAGGUUGCUCCACAAACAGAGACCCGGACCAGGGAGAGACUCUUGUAUGACCAGGAUAAGACCACCAAUGCUGGGUGUGUUCUGGAGGAGGACCUGGGUUCAGGAGAAGCAAUGGUGGAUCCUCUAGCUGACAUAAGCCACCAGUCUUCAGGGUACGUGACGUAUGAAAACGCGGAGGCCACCUGUGUCUUGAGUCGGACCGAGGCUGGGGAGAGCAUUAUAUCAGGGCCUGAGGAGGGGACACCAAUUGGAACGGGGGGGUUUCUCCUACACAGCACCUCCGAUACAAACACAACCAAGGCAUGUAAUAUCAUCAGCCAUCCUCCCAUUGAUGCUGAAGAUCUGGAGGAGGGGUCGUCCCCGUGUGACGAUGACCUCAUAACCGGUCGCCCUGCAGAUGAGGCGAGCGUGACGUCGUCCUGGUGUAAUGACGUCAUACCAGACUAUUUAGAGGAAGCGUUGGUGACGUCGCCUCUACAGAGCAACGAUAUCACACCUCCUGUAGAAGACCACAUAGCAAGUCAUCCAGGAAAGAAGUGUAGCACUACUAAUAUUGUCACUUUCCCCCAGCAUCAAGCCUCAUUAUCACUAUCAGACCGUCCUGAACCCAAGAUUGUAGUGACAUGUCCUCAGACUGAGGCCUCGACACCGGACCUCUGCAAACCAGAUCAGAACCAGGCGUCAGACUUAGACCUGGACCGACCGGAGGGACCAUACCGGCUCAGCCUCCAGACUCUUCUAAAGAAAUCCCAGGCAGCUUUGAAAUGCCCCAAACCAGGCAGGAACCAGCCAGAAUCAGAACCAAAGAUCCGGACUGGAGAUGUAGACUUGGACCCGGAAUCGGAACCAGUGGCAGGGCCGUACCGCCUCAGCCUCCAGACCCUGCUGAAAAAGUCCCAGGAGCACCGGAGACGCCAGCGUCAGCUGAAGAACCAGGCCAAGGCCUCUACUUGUCCUACCAGGACCCAGGAGGUCUUGACACACCAGAAGAUGGAGGAGAUCAGUUUCUCAGACAAGGAGAAUGAGGAGUUCCUCCAGUCAGGGAGAGUGGUGGCGGAGGGAAGGAAAACCUGGGACAGGGAUUGGAGAAAGGAUCAUCUGGGAAUGGGAGUCCAGUUUUCCGGACCGCCACCACUAGAGAUAUUCCCUAAGGAAGCGUGGGUUCAACGUGAGGAGGAGAAAGCGAGGUCUAGGAUUGUGGACAGAAUGGGACCCAACGAAAAAGGAUGUCAUGAAAGAAUAUUAAAGGAAUUGGAGGCUGGAAAUGGCCCUUCACAUUUGGUUGGUCUAGAAGGAGACACCCAAUCCCAAUCUCCUCCAGGAGUGGACAUUGAUGCUGGCUCGGCAGCCGAAGACAUCCAGCUACACCUCUCACCAGACGUCACAGCAGCACCGUCAAUGCUAAUGGAGAACCUUCCACAUCCUAUCUCAGCCGAUGCCUCCAUAACCCAGAAAUCAUUCUACCUAGUCAGGGAGAAGAGCUCUACCCUGCCGAGGCCUUCCUCUCUGGGGAGUAGUAGGUUCCAGAGCGUCCCUACCCCCCAGUUUAGUAUGAGCCCUAUCCGCUGUAAGAGUAAAGGAAACAGUGGGGGAGGAGGGCGUGGCACCCCCAAGAGGCAGAUCCUGGUAAACACACCUUUGAAUGUAGACCACGAGGUGGGGUCGGUGACUGGGCAGGAAAAUAAUGAUGCUCGGGACCAAACGCAUCUGCAUAGAGCGCCCCUAGUGGCUGGGGGUGGUACAAGACCUAUGCGUAGGAGCACAGACCAGGCAGAACAGAUAGCUCAGCUGGAGCUCAACUUGUCCUGCCUCAAAAUACUGAUCUCUGACCUGGAGUCCACGCUCACAGAGACACCAGAGAGCCACCAGACGCUCAACAACAGCCAGACUGAUAAUAUAGACCAACAACACAAAUACAUGGACUACCAUACACCUGACAGCCAGGCCUUACAGUCAGGGAACCAGACACACAACAACAGCCAGACUGAUAAUAGUAGUAACCUUACCAUGGACCCGCCACAUAAAUACAUGGACUACCAUACACCUGAGAGUCAGGCAGAGAGUGACCUUAGUGACAGUGAGAAAGGAAGAGGGGAUGGAGGUCAGAGGUCAGCUGAUAAGAUGGCGGUGGUCCCCUGUAGAGUCCAGUGGUGUGACAGCGUACCUUCAUUGGUCAAGGAGGUGGAGAUCACUGUUACAACGGGUUACAAAAGACAAGAUGGUCGCCAGCAGCAGUCUCUUGCAGCGCGCCACGUCACCUCCCUCACUCAGAAGAGGAGAGUUCCUGACGUGUUCCGGAAGGUUCCAUACGAUGUCAUCAAGGUUCUGUCGAAAGUCAUCAAGGUUCGGAAUGACGUCGUCAAGAUUCCGGCAUCACACAAAACACCUUUCUCCGUCCUCUCAGAUGCCAGUAACAACCAGCACCAGCCAAUGGAGUGGAAGAGUUAUCCGGAGGACCCCGCCCACUUCCAAUCCAUCAACCAAUCGUAUGACGUAGACACGCCCUCAGGGCUCUGGCUCCAGGGAGGGUCAGAGGGGUCGUUGAAAGGUCAUGACCCCACGGGGAAGCAGCUGACCCCUGAGAACGGAGGUGGGGGUCAGGGAGGGGCAUCAAGGGCCAAACGUAGACUGGUCAUGCACACGACAGAGGGGAACAGGGGACGAGGACGAAGAGAGGUGAUGGACAGGCCUCACUCCAUUACUCCUGAAGCUGUGGUGCGGUCACACAGUCAGGAGAACCAGCAGCCCCAGCUGAAGCAGACCCAUGCAGCCCAGGUCAGAGCCCUGAAGGAGGAGCAGAGGAGACAGCAGCAACAACUACUGCAGGUGUCUGUCUGUGUGUUAUGGCCCCCUGGUGGCAGCAGCAGUGAAGGGAUACCUAACCAGGAGGCUCCUACACACAGAGAGAGUGGGACAGCUGCUAUGUACCAUCAAGGACACGCAGCAGUUCCUGCAGUCCUUCCAGCUCCAGAGCCCUGGGAGAGACAGCAGGCAAGACCUGGUGCUGCAGGAGAGAGUCACACUGCAGCUCCGCUCAGCACGUUAUGAGGUCCAGGACAUCUUCUGUCUGUCAGCAGGAGACAGGAUGCAGAUCAUCAGCUGGGACAGACAGCUGGCCAGGGACAGGGAGAUGAAACGCAAGACUGGGGAAACGGGGUCGACCAGGGGGAAGAGUUCUCUGUCAGCUGCUACACAGAAAGCCUUGGAGAGGAAGAGAGGAGUCAUGAUGAGGAAAGCGGCAGAGGGGCAGAGGGGGACUGGAGCUGUGGUUGCUGGGGCAGAGGGGAACGUCGUGAAGCAGACACGUGGGUCUUUUCGACCCAACCCUCAAAGGGUCCCCAAGACCACCCAGUCCCGCAGAUCUCGGUGAAGAUGGUCUACUUAUCGGGCUAGACUGGACCGAAACCGAAUCGUGUUCAUUUUGGCACAGUGUAGCAAAACAUUUUGCACAGGAGAACAAAAACGAGCGUUUCUUAUUGGACAAGUUCAGGGUCAUAUUCAUUAGUGGAAAUGUUUUGGAAAAUGAAAACAAGCGUUUGUUAUUGGACAAAUUCAGGGUCAUAUUCAUUAGUGAAAAUGUUUUGGAAAAUGAAAACGAAGUGUUUCUUAUUGGACAAGUUCAGGUAGUCCCUCCCUUGACCCAGGUAAUGAAUACUGUUGAUACCUAAAAAGAUAUACACACACACACACCAUCCAUCUCACUUAACCCUAAAACAAUACGCCCCUAUGGGCCCUGGUCAAAAGUAGUGCACUAUAAAGGGAAUAGGCUGCCAUUUGGGAUGCAUCCAUAGUGUUUCUUGCUAACCAGUGUACAUCUGGAAAGUAUUGUAUUUUAACUUGAUUGUAUUCUACAAAGGCACAACUCACUGCAUUCAAAUGCAUCUUAGCUACUACAUACUGUAUGUGACAAUCUAUUCUUACCACAAGACCUCAGGACUUGUUUUUGGACACACUAUUCGUAAUAUGUUAGUUUUACACAUUUUAUACUAUUUAUAUUUCCUAUACCUGUUUGUGGUACAGUAUUGGGAUGGCAAUGCAACCAAAGCCCAGAAAACCCAAGUCUAUUUUUAAGGUCUGUUCUGAGUGUUCUUCUUUCCUACUGUUUUUGUUCUAAAUUAUUAAAUGUUUUUAUAAAAAAUG
Non-coding RNA from Salmo salar (Atlantic salmon), 5048 nucleotides. Lineage: Eukaryota; Metazoa; Chordata; Actinopteri; Salmoniformes; Salmonidae. The record is from RefSeq and is a predicted model, not a curated record.